RNAcentral lists this ribozyme (117 nucleotides) under Aedes aegypti (yellow fever mosquito). RNAcentral describes it as "drz-agam-1 ribozyme". It matches the Rfam family "drz-agam-1 ribozyme". The record is from Rfam by way of RNAcentral. Lineage: Eukaryota; Metazoa; Arthropoda; Insecta; Diptera; Culicidae.
UGCCCUGCAGCUCGUAUUCUUACCUCCGCGCGGUAAUGGCCGGGCUACGAGCAACCUUAGGGGAAGAUCUGGUAGUCAACUCCGGUGGGAACUUUGGUCGUAUGCUGACAGGGAUGG